Molecule: non-coding RNA, 28 nt
Filed under: Mus musculus (house mouse)
Lineage: Eukaryota; Metazoa; Chordata; Mammalia; Rodentia; Muridae
Source: RNAcentral
UGAAGAUUCACAGUUUCUCAUUUAGUGU